AAAAAGAAGCUCAGGGACCGUGCCUAGGCCCUGAGUUCAAGCCCCAUAACAGGAGAAAAAAGAAAAGAAAAAAGAAUAUGUGAACAAAUGACUAGGUAGUCUCCUCCCCAGAAUGGAUGAACAGCAGCAGGGAAAGAGGUGGGGGAGUGGAUGGAGAAUUUUAGAGACUUUAAAACUGCAGCAAAUUUAAAUGAGUCAGGGAGCUUCCAUUAGAAAAUGAAAUUAGUGAAGUUUUGUGAAAAGAAUUUUUCUAUGGCUAAAAUGUUCCAGUCUUUUAGCUCUUUCAUUUUGCAUGAUUUAAAAAAUUUAAAAAUAAUUCUAGAAAGAUACCAGUUUAUAAGUAAUCCAAAUGUCAGCUUCUGUCCCACCAUUACCUCCUACCCAAAACAAAUUUGAGUUUAAUGCCCAGAAAAGAUCUAUUUACAUCACACACUUUUUUCCAACAUAAACUCAGACAGAUGUGAGCAGAUGUGCCAGUGUAUAGUAAUUCUCCCCUGAGUUUUAAGAUUAGGAAGAUUAAUAUUCUCCUCUAACCAUCUAAGAUGAAGGUUCUCUGCUUAUAAUAAUGCCUAGGAUUUGUGUAGAACUUGGCAGUUUUCAGAGCAUUUUUACUUGCAUUAUCAUGCAAACACUCU
This is a long non-coding RNA of Perognathus longimembris pacificus (Pacific pocket mouse), 635 nucleotides long. RefSeq lists it as uncharacterized. The transcript has 3 exons. The record is from RefSeq and is a predicted model, not a curated record. Lineage: Eukaryota; Metazoa; Chordata; Mammalia; Rodentia; Heteromyidae.